RNAcentral lists this long non-coding RNA (859 nucleotides) under Equus asinus (donkey). Its description in RNAcentral is "lncRNA (ENSEASG00005026429.1)". The record is from RNAcentral. Lineage: Eukaryota; Metazoa; Chordata; Mammalia; Perissodactyla; Equidae.
CCCGGGGGGUGCUCUGGCCACAGUGAUAUCACCAUGAGACCCCUUAAGCUGGUUUCCUCUAGCUCCUUCCUCAUUUCUUGGGGAUUACUGGGUUCAGGCCUACUCCUCAGGGACCCAGGAAGUGAAGGCACGAGGAGCGCUGGGGCUCAGCGUGGGAGCAGAGAAGGAGGAGCUGACGUGACCCUCUCGUCCCAGCUUUGUGGCUCAUUUGCCGUAGAGACUUUGCAGAACCCUGGAACAGAGCUGCCUGUCUGCAGAGUGGAGGCUUAGGAAGGGCUUUGGAAUCUAGGCUGCUUUGCAGGCCAUCAGGGAGCGUUUGCCUCCCUCUUUGUGCAGGAGUGCUAAUCCCAACCUUCCAGGUGUCUGGCCAGUGAGGCCGAAGUUCCUGUGCUGUUUCUGAUCAGAGGCUCAGGAGUUCCUCCCACAGAGAGAUGAAGCCUGGCAGCCGGCCUCAUUUCUCAGAAUUUCCAAAAUAAGCAUAUAGAUUAGUAAUUGAUAGUGACAUAUAAUUUAAACGCAUCGUGACAGAGACUCCAUUUCCAGAGGUGAAGGUGAUGGAGAAGGCAAGAGUAUUUAACUCAGGACGACAGAAGGAAGGGUCAGCGGGACGUUGAGGGCUGACUGGAGGGGAGGACAAGGGGUGGGGAUAUAGACGGAGAGUGAUGGCUGCUGAAAAGGAGCUGCAGGCAGAGAAAAGAGGCUGGAGUGGAAGACAACCUUCCGCCAUGCCUUAUACCGGCUCGGCUCAACCUCAGAAGGGCGGCUGUUGGGGACAUUUUUAUCCUGCCUGCUGUAAUAUCCUUUUGUGUUGUUGGCGCCAAUUUUAUUUCAAAUAAAAAAGCAAGCAAUUUACUAUAAA